AAGCCACGGGACAACAACUAAAGUCUGAAGACAUCGGCCAGGAAGACUGAGACCUGUCAAUCACGUGUGAGUUAAGAAGCUGAACUUUACCCAGCCAUCAGAAGCUUGGAAGAUACUCUUGAGUCCAGGGGCCAACACGAGGGGAACCAAGACCACCUUACACCAGCAGCUACAAAUAGCAACUACCAUUUCCAGCUUGAUCCAAGCGAAGGCGGGCAGCAGGUGCCUGGAAGGGGCCAGUCCUUUUCCAGAAGCUUCCAUCUGUCGCAAGCCAAGUGACUGCACACAGCUAGUGGGCCAAAGCCAAUAAAUACUAACAUGAGACACA
This is a long non-coding RNA of Mastomys coucha (southern multimammate mouse), 328 nucleotides long. RefSeq lists it as uncharacterized. The record is from RefSeq and is a predicted model, not a curated record. Lineage: Eukaryota; Metazoa; Chordata; Mammalia; Rodentia; Muridae. The transcript is spliced from 2 exons.